Molecule: unclassified non-coding RNA, 346 nt
Filed under: uncultured fungus
Lineage: Eukaryota; Fungi
Description: partial contains 5.8S ribosomal RNA, internal transcribed spacer 2, and large subunit ribosomal RNA
Rfam family: 5.8S ribosomal RNA (bases 1-52)
Source: RNAcentral
AACGCACCUUGCGCUCGCUGGUAUUCCGGCGAGCAUGCCUGUUUGAGUGUCAUGAACUCUUCAACCCUCCAAUUCCUUGUUGAAUUGUGAGGUGUUUGGAUUUUGAACGCUUGCUGGUCUAAUCUCUCUUUACCGAGAGGUCAAGACGUAGCUCGUUCGUAAUACAUUAGCAAAACUAAUCCCGAAUGAUUCGGAUUGACUCGGCGUAAUAGACUUUUAUUCGCUGAGGACACCUUUUCGAAGGUGGCCGAAUCUCGAUUGUUAGUAGCUUCCAACUCUCAUAUUUGAAGUCAAAUUACUUUUUAGAUUAGACCUCAGAUCAGGCAGGACUACCCGCUGAACUUAA